ACCGAAUGAGGCAACUCAUUCACGGCCCGCUGAAUGCAUAGGCGGGUGCGAGCGAACGCAGGGAACUGAAACAUCUCACGUACCUGCAGGAACAGAAAGAGAAAUCGAUUCCGUCAGUAGUGGCGAGCGAACGCGGAAGAGCCCAAACCAGGGGUAACCCUGGGGUUGCGGGCCUCAAUAUGGGAGCCGAGUGGUUACUUGAACUGCCUGGAAUGGCGGGCCAUAGAAGGUGAAAGCCCUGUAAAGAAAAACCGCAAAGCCCCUAGAGGUACCAGAGUAGCGCGAGGCUCGUGAAACCUCGUGUGAAUCCGGGCGGACCACCGCCCAAGGCUAAAUACUCCUGUACGACCGAUAGCGAACCAGUAGGGCGAUUGAACGUUGAAAAGCACCGCGACGAGCGGAGUCAAAAGCACCUGAACCCGUAUACCUACAGUCCGUGGAAGGGCGGAUCCCGAAAGGGUGGCCUGACCGCGUACCUUUUGCAUAAUGGGCCGACGAGUUAUUGUUCACGGCAAGCCUAAGGUCUUAAGGACCGGAGGCGAAGGGAAACCGAGGCUGAACAGGCCGAUUAAGUCGUGAGCUUUAGACCCGAAACCACGUGAUCUA
Molecule: ribosomal RNA, 606 nt
Filed under: mine drainage metagenome
Description: bacterial LSU rRNA
Rfam family: Bacterial large subunit ribosomal RNA
Source: RNAcentral